AAUUUUAAACAAAAUAAUUCGCCAGAGGACUACUAGCAAUAGCUUAAAACUCAAAGGACUUGGCGGUGCUUUAUAUCCCUCUAGAGGAGCCUGUUCUAUAAUCGAUAAACCCCGAUAAACCUCACCACCCUUUGCUAAUUCAGUCUAUAUACCGCCAUCUUCACCCAGGGUG
This 172-nucleotide ribosomal RNA is filed under the name Canis lupus (wolf). RNAcentral's name for it is "partial small subunit ribosomal RNA". The record is from RNAcentral. Lineage: Eukaryota; Metazoa; Chordata; Mammalia; Carnivora; Canidae.